AUACGGAGGGUGCGAGCGUUAAUCGGAAUUACUGGGCGUAAAGCGUACGUAGGCGGUUUGCUAAGUCAGAUGUGAAAGCCCCGGGCUUAACCUGGGAACUGCAUUUGAUACUGGCAGACUAGAGUAUGAUAGAGGGGGGUAGAAUUCCUGGUGUAGCGGUGAAAUGCGUAGAUAUCAGGAGGAAUACCAGUGGCGAAGGCGGCCCCCUGGAUCAAUGCUGACGCUGAGGUACGAAAGCGUGGGGAGCGAACAGGAUUAGAAACCCUAGUAGUCC
This 274-nucleotide ribosomal RNA is filed under the name uncultured bacterium. RNAcentral describes it as "partial 16S ribosomal RNA". It matches the Rfam family "Bacterial small subunit ribosomal RNA", at positions 523 to 796 of the family's 1533-position model. The record is from RNAcentral.